UACCCUGUGUGUAGUAGGAUGUUUAUUUCAAAGCAUCCCCGACCUCAGAACUCAGCAGAGGAGGUCAAUGCUCCCUAGCCUGCCCUGCGCUGUAACAAGCAAGCACCUCUCCAAACUUUGGCAGACGUUCGCGUCUUCAAGUGAUCUCAAAGGCAGCGGAGGUAUCGAAGAGCUGCCACCCGCGGCGUUGGGAGAGGGGAAGGAGAAGAAGCCGGAAUUGCUUAAAUUAGCAUUCUGCUGAUGCCGCUCUCGGCACCGCGCACGGUGAAGCUAGCUCUGCCGGUGCUGCCAAAACUGCAAACUGGACUCCAUUGCGGUUUGUGGGACCAAUCUGCAAGCUUCAAAGUCCGCCGCCCUGACCGCGUCGGCCUUCCUCGAGCGCCCCCUGCAGGCAGAGCCAGGCAAGCCCCUUGGUUGAGGGGUUAGACCAGAGUGGGUUCCAGGGGAGACUCUUCGCUGAGAUCAUCCGUGCAUGAUCACGUGUGGUUCUGAGACUUUAAAGAGUUCGCUAACCACUCACCCGAGGCAAAGCUGGAACUCUCUGCAGGGAUGGAGGAAGAGCGCGGCAUGUUUGCAUGGACGCCUGUGGACAGCAGGAAGUCUGAAGAGCAUUGUAAUGUAGAUGACUGGUAUGCAGGAUAUCUGACAAGCCGCCUCUUCAAAGGUGCACAGACAGACCCACAGGCAGACCCACAGGCUGAGAACCACUGGUCUAUCCCAUGGAGUGUUUCAGGACGCACACAGAGGCAGUUCUGUUACUAACGAAGACUGAAUGGCUUCACUAGCCUCGGUCUUGACCUGUCCAGUUCGGUGGAGCUGUCAGUCCAGCCCGCGCUCACAAGUGCCUGUAGCUCCAGCUCCAGGGGGAUCCUAUGCUCCUGCCCUCCCCAGGCCCACCUGUGUGUGCACAGGAGUGCAUGCGCACAGAAAUUAAAACUAAU
Molecule: long non-coding RNA, 941 nt
Organism: Psammomys obesus (fat sand rat)
Lineage: Eukaryota; Metazoa; Chordata; Mammalia; Rodentia; Muridae
Exons: 3
Source: RefSeq, a predicted model, not a curated record